RNAcentral lists this ribosomal RNA (549 nucleotides) under uncultured Glomus. RNAcentral's name for it is "SSU rRNA". It matches the Rfam family "Eukaryotic small subunit ribosomal RNA", at positions 548 to 1098 of the family's 1831-position model. Lineage: Eukaryota; Fungi; Glomeromycota; Glomeromycetes; Glomerales; Glomeraceae. The record is from RNAcentral.
UUGGAGGGCAAGUCUGGUGCCAGCAGCCGCGGUAAUUCCAGCUCCAAUAGCGUAUAUUAAAGUUGUUGCAGUUAAAAAGCUCGUAGUUGAAUUUCGGGGCUAGUAGGUUGGUCGUGCCACUGGUAUGUACUGGCUCUACUGAUCCCUCCUUCUUGUAGAACCGUAAUGCCAUUAACUUGGUGUUGCGGGGAAACAGGACUGUUACUUUGAAAAAAUUAGAGUGUUUAAAGCAGGCUAACGCUUGAAUACAUUAGCAUGGAAUAAUGAAAUAGGACGCUCGAUCCUAUUUUGUUGGCUUCUAGGAUUGACGUAAUGAUUAAUAGGGAUAGUUGGGGGCAUUAGUAUUCAAUUGUCAGAGGUGAAAUUCUUGGAUUUAUUGAAGACUAACUACUGCGAAAGCAUUUGCCAAGGAUGUUUUCAUUAAUCAAGAACGAAAGUUAGGGGAUCGAAGACGAUCAGAUACCGUCGUAGUCUUAACCAUAAACUAUGCCAGCUAGGGAUCGGAUGAUGUUAAUUUUUUAAUGACUCAUUCGGCGCCUUACGGGAAAC